AACGAACGCUGGCGGCAGGCUUAACACAUGCAAGUCGAACGGGUGCAGCAAUGCAUCAGUGGCAGACGGGUGAGUAACACGUGGGAACCUUCCUAGGGGUACGGAACAACUCAGGGAAACUUGAGCUAAUACCGUAUACGUCCGUAAGGAGAAAGAUUCAUCGCCCCUAGACGGGCCCGCGUCGGAUUAGGUAGUUGGUGGGGUAACGGCCUACCAAGCCUACGAUCCGUAGCUGAUCUGAGAGGAUGAUCAGCCACACUGGGACUGAGACACGGCCCAGACUCCUACGGGAGGCAGCAGGUGGGGAAUCUUGGACAAUGGGCGCAAGCCUGAUCCAGCCAUGCCGCGUGAGUGAAGAAGGCCUUAGGGUUGUAAAGCUCUUUUACCAGGGACGAUAAUGACGGUACCUGGAGAAUAAGCCCCGGCAAACUUCGUGCCAGCAGCCG
RNAcentral lists this ribosomal RNA (446 nucleotides) under uncultured bacterium. Its description in RNAcentral is "bacterial SSU rRNA". It matches the Rfam family "Bacterial small subunit ribosomal RNA", at positions 29 to 517 of the family's 1533-position model. The record is from RNAcentral.